Loxodonta africana (African savanna elephant) is the source of this 107-nucleotide small nuclear RNA. Lineage: Eukaryota; Metazoa; Chordata; Mammalia; Proboscidea; Elephantidae. The record is from Ensembl.
GUGCUCACUUCGGCAGCCCAUAUGCUAAAACUGGAACAAUAUAGAGAAGAUUAGCAUGGCUCCUGUGCAAGGAUGACAUGCAAAUUCAUGAAGCAUUCCAUAUUUUU